Molecule: ribosomal RNA, 459 nt
Filed under: uncultured bacterium
Lineage: Bacteria
Description: partial 16S ribosomal RNA
Rfam family: Bacterial small subunit ribosomal RNA
Source: RNAcentral
CCUACGGGAGACAGCAGUGAGGAAUAUUGGUCAAUGGCCGGAAGGCUGAACCAGCCAAGCCGCGUGAAGGAAGACGGUGCCAAGCAUUGUAAACUUCUUUUGUCAAGGGACAAAACCAGGCACGAGAGCCUGACGGAGGGUACUUGAAAGAAAAGCAUCGGCUAACUCCGUGCCAGCAGCCGCGGGAAUACGGGGGAUGCGAGCGUUAUCCGGAUUUAUUGGGUUUAAAGGGUGCGUAGGCGGACUUUUAAGUCAGCGGUAAAAGGCCGGGGCUCAACCCCGGCGAGCCGUUGAAACUGGCUGUCUUGAGAUGUCGAGAGGUAUGCGGAAUGCGCGGUGUAGCGGUGAAAUGCUUAGAUAUUGCGCAGAACUCCGAUUGCGAAGGCAGCAUACCGGCGGCCAUCUGACGCUGAGGCACGAAAGCGUGGGUAUCGAACAGGAUUAGAUACCCGGGUAGUC